GACGAACGCUGGCGGCGUGCCUAAUACAUGCAAGUCGAACGAGAGCAACCGGUGCUUGCACUGGUCAAUCUAGUGGCGAACGGGUGAGUAACACGUGGGUAACCUGCCCAUCAGAGGGGGAUAACAUCCGGAAACGGAUGCUAAAACCGCAUAGGUCUUCGAACCGCAUGGUUUGAAGAGGAAAAGAGGCGCAAGCUUCUGCUGAUGGAUGGACCCGCGGUGCAUUAGCUAGUUGGUGAGGUAACGGCUCACCAAGGCCGUGAUGCAUAGCCGACCUGAGAGGGUGAGCGGCCACAUUGGGACUGAGACACGACCCAAACUCCUACGGGAGGCAGCAGUAGGGAAUCUUCCGCAAUGGACGCAAGUCUGACGGAGCAACGCCGCGUGAGUGAAGAAGGUUUUCGGAUCGUAAAACUCUGUUGUUAGAGAAGAACAAGUGCUAGAGUAACUGUUAGCGCCUUGACGGUAUCUAACCAGAAAGCCACGGCUAACUACGUG
RNAcentral lists this ribosomal RNA (498 nucleotides) under uncultured bacterium. RNAcentral's name for it is "partial 16S ribosomal RNA". It matches the Rfam family "Bacterial small subunit ribosomal RNA", at positions 28 to 507 of the family's 1533-position model. The record is from RNAcentral.